This 555-nucleotide ribosomal RNA is filed under the name uncultured bacterium. RNAcentral describes it as "bacterial SSU rRNA". It matches the Rfam family "Bacterial small subunit ribosomal RNA", at positions 338 to 885 of the family's 1533-position model. The record is from RNAcentral.
CCUACGGGAGGCAGCAGUGGGGAAUUUUGGAUCAAUGGGGGAAACCCUGAUCCAGCCAUCCCGCGUGUGCGAUGAAGGCCUUCGGGUUGUAAAGCACUUUUGGCAGGAAAGAAACGUUCCGGGUUAAUACCUCGGGAAACUGACGGUACCUGCAGAAUAAGCACCGGCUAACUACGUGCCAGCAGCCGCGGUAAUACGUAGGGUGCAAGCGUUAAUCGGAAUUACUGGGCGUAAAGCGUGCGCAGGCGGUUCGGAAAGAAAGAUGUGAAAUCCCAGAGCUUAACUUUGGAACUGCAUUUUUAACUACCGAGCUAGAGUGUGUCAGAGGGAGGUGGAAUUCCGCGUGUAGCAGUGAAAUGCGUAGAUAUGCGGAGGAACACCGAUGGCGAAGGCAGCCUCCUGGGAUAACACUGACGCUCAUGCACGAAAGCGUGGGGAGCAAACAGGAUUAGAUACCCUGGUAGUCCACGCCCUAAACGAUGUCAACUAGCUGUUGGGGCCUUCGGGCCUUGGUAGCGCAGCUAACGCGUGAAGUUGACCGCCUGGGGAGUACGG